UACGUAGGGCGCAAGCGUUAUCCGGAAUUAUUGGGCGUAAAGAGCUUCGUGAGCGGUUUGUCGCGUCUGCUGUGAAAAUCCGGGGCUCAACCCCGGACUUGCAGUGGGUACGGGCAGACUAGAGUGUGGUAGGGGAGACUGGAAUUCCUGGUGUAGCGGUGGAAUGCGCAGAUAUCAGGAGGAACACCGAUGGCGAAGGCAGGUCUCUGGGCCACUACUGACGCUGAGAAGCGAAAGCAUGGGGAGCGAACAGG
This 254-nucleotide ribosomal RNA is filed under the name uncultured bacterium. RNAcentral describes it as "partial 16S ribosomal RNA". It matches the Rfam family "Bacterial small subunit ribosomal RNA", at positions 524 to 776 of the family's 1533-position model. The record is from RNAcentral.